GGAUGUGACAAUAAUCUCGCUUCAACAUCUGCUACUCCACUGAUUACUAGGGCUGAUCUGGCUGGCUAGGCAGGUGUCCCCUUCCUCCCUCACCCAUCCAUGUGCAUCCCUCCCAAAUCUGCAUGUUCAGUCAAAGAGGAUGACCUUCCCUGUAGAUGCAUUCCCCUGCUAGAACCUCCAAACAAGCUCUCAAGAACCCUAGCAGCAAUAAAAAUAAUUAGUUAUAAAAGAGAAAAUGUGGAAAAUAUCUAGAGUUGUGUCUAGAACCCAGAGGAGACCCACAAGUGUUAGGUACUUCUGUUU
Unclassified non-coding RNA from Erinaceus europaeus (western European hedgehog), 303 nucleotides. Its record names the gene 7SK. It matches the Rfam family "7SK RNA". From Rfam's summary of the family: 7SK was discovered as an abundant small nuclear RNA in the mid-70s but a possible function has only recently been suggested. Two independent studies have found that 7SK RNA binds the CDK9/cyclin T complex (known as elongation factor P-TEFb). The record is from Ensembl. Lineage: Eukaryota; Metazoa; Chordata; Mammalia; Eulipotyphla; Erinaceidae.